AGCUUUUAUAGGAAAUCAUUAGCCAAUGCUUACCUAUGGGAUCCACUUUAUUCAGCAAUUGCUUUGAUUGAUUGGAUUCACAGCAAUGGCCAUGCAUGCGCUAAUUUCAUGCAAACAGGAAGGAGACACUGUUGCCACUAACCGUAGUGGAGCAGCAGGGAAGAAAACUUGCCGUUGGACAAAAAAAGUUAACUUUAUUUAUUCGGGAUGGGGCACCCAGGAUGCAAUGGGUUAAAGGAAUACUCCAAGCAUUAAAAUAUAUAUUUGCUUUUAACGUUGAUGUGUUCCUUUUACUUUCUCCAAAAGGGUGUGAGAGCAUGAACGUGACAUUAACGAACACUGGGUUUA
Molecule: non-coding RNA, 348 nt
Organism: Pelobates cultripes (western spadefoot toad)
Lineage: Eukaryota; Metazoa; Chordata; Amphibia; Anura; Pelobatidae
Source: the annotation of a GenBank genome assembly